GUCCAGACUCCUACGGGAGGCAGCAGUGGGGAAUAUUGCACAAUGGGGGAAACCCUGAUGCAGCGACGCCGCGUGAGUGGAGAAGUAUUUCGGUAUGUAAGGCUCUAUCAGCAGGGAAGAAAAUGACGGUACCUGACUAAGAAGCCCCGGCUAACUACGUGCCAGCAGCCGCGGUAAUACGUAGGGGGCAAGCGUUAUCCGGAUUUACUGGGUGUAAAGGGAGCGUAGACGGCAUGGCAAGUCAGAUGUGAAAGCCCGGGGCUCAACCCCGGGACUGCAUUUGAAACUGUCAGGCUGGAGUGCAGGAGAGGUAAGUGGAAUUCCUAGUGUAGCGGUGAAAUGCGUAGAUAUUAGGAGGAACACCAGUGGCGAAGGCGGCUUACUGGACGGUAACUGACGUUGAGGCUCGAAAGCGUGGGGAGCAAACAGGAUUAGAUACCCGUGUAUCG
Molecule: ribosomal RNA, 449 nt
Filed under: uncultured bacterium
Lineage: Bacteria
Description: bacterial SSU rRNA
Rfam family: Bacterial small subunit ribosomal RNA
Source: RNAcentral